UUCAGUUACCUGCAUCUUCAAUACUCUAAUAUAUAAUCACAUAAUCAUAUUUAAAACACAACGCUUUUAUCCACAUUUUACAUACAGGUGGUACCGUCUGGGUGCAUCCCAUAGGACACCCUAUUCCCUACAUAGACCACGAGGUAGGGAAUAGGGGGGCAUUUAGACCACUAGGUAGGGAAUAGGGGGGCAUUUUGACCACUAGGUAGGGAAUAGGGGGCCAGUUUGACCACUAGGUAGGGAAUAGGGGGCCAGUUUGACCACUAGGUAGGGAAUAGGGGGCAUUUUGACCACUAGGUAGGGAAUAGGGGGCCAUUUUGACCACUAGGUAGGGAAUAGGGGGCCAUUUAGACCACUAGGUAGGGAAUAGGGGGCCAGUUUGACCACUAGGUAGGGAAUAGGGGGCCAUUUAGACCACUAGGUAGGGAAUAGGGGGCCAUUUAGACCACUAGGUAGGGAAUAGGGGGGCAUUUAGACCACUAGGUAGGGAAUAGGGGGCCAGUUUGACCACUAGGUAGGGAAUAGGGGGCCAGUUUGACCACUAGGUAGGGAAUAGGGGGCCAUUUAGACCACUAGGUAGGGAAUAGGGGGCCAGUUUGACAACUAGGUAGGGAAUAGGGGGCCAUUUUGACCACUAGGUAGGGAAUAGGGGGGCAUUUAGACCACUAGGUAGGGAAUAGGGGGCCAUUUAGACCACUAGGUAGGGAAUAGGGGGCCAGUUUGACCACUAGGUAGGGAAUAGGGGGCCAGUUUGACCACUAGGUAGGGAAUAGGGGGCCAUUUAGACCACUAGGUAGGGAAUAGGGGGCCAGUUUGACAACUAGGUAGGGAAUAGGGGGCCAUUUUGACCACUAGGUAGGGAAUAGGGGGCCAUUUUGACCACUAGGUAGGGAAUAGGGGGCCAUUUAGACCACUAGGUAGGGAAUAGGGGGCCAGUUUGACCACUAGGUAGGGAAUAGGGGGGCAUUUAGACCACUAGGUAGGGAAUAGGGGGCCAUUUAGACCACUAGGUAGGGAAUAGGGGGCCAUUUAGACCACUAGGUAGGGAAUAGGGGGCCAGUUUGACCACUAGGUAGGGAAUAGGGGGCCAUUUAGACCACUAGGUAGGGAAUAGGGGGCCAGUUUGACCACUAGGUAGGGAAUAGGGGGCCAUUUUGACAACUAGGUAGGGAAUAGGGGGCCAGUUUGACCACUAGGUAGGGAAUAGGGGGCCAGUUUGACCACUAGGUAGGGAAUAGGGGGCCAGUUUGACCACUAGGUAGGGAAUAGGGGGCCAUUUAGACCACUAGGUAGGGAAUAGGGGGCCAUUUAGACCACUAGGUAGGGAAUA
This is a long non-coding RNA of Oncorhynchus keta (chum salmon), 1330 nucleotides long. RefSeq lists it as uncharacterized. The record is from RefSeq and is a predicted model, not a curated record. The transcript is spliced from 10 exons. NCBI's taxonomy places the organism in Eukaryota, Metazoa, Chordata, Actinopteri, Salmoniformes, Salmonidae.